AUUGAACGCUGGCGGCAGGCCUAACACAUGCAAGUCGAGCGGAUGAAGGGAGCUUGCUCCUGGAUUCAGCGGCGGACGGGUGAGUAAUGCCUAGGAAUCUGCCUGGUAGUGGGGGAUAACGUCCGGAAACGGGCGCUAAUACCGCAUACGUCCUGAGGGAGAAAGUGGGGGAUCUUCGGACCUCACGCUAUCAGAUGAGCCUAGGUCGGAUUAGCUAGUUGGUGGGGUAAAGGCCUACCAAGGCGACGAUCCGUAACUGGUCUGAGAGGAUGAUCAGUCACACUGGAACUGAGACAUGGUCCAGACUCCUACGGGAGGCAGCAGUGGGGAAUAUUGGACAAUGGGCGAAAGCCUGAUCCAGCCAUGCCGCGUGUGUGAAGAAGGUCUUCGGAUUGUAAAGCACUUUAAGUUGGGAGGAAGGGCAGUAAGUUAAUACCUUGCUGUUUUGACGUUACCAACAGAAUAAGCACCGGCUAACUUCGUG
This 484-nucleotide ribosomal RNA is filed under the name uncultured bacterium. Its description in RNAcentral is "partial 16S ribosomal RNA". It matches the Rfam family "Bacterial small subunit ribosomal RNA", at positions 30 to 507 of the family's 1533-position model. The record is from RNAcentral.